UGGGGAAUCUUCCGCAAUGGGCGAAAGCCUGACGGAGCAAUGCCGCGUGGAGGUGGAAGGCCUACGGGUCGUCAACUUCUUUUCUCGGAGAAGAAACAAUGACGGUAUCUGAGGAAUAAGCAUCGGCUAACUCUGUGCCAG
RNAcentral lists this ribosomal RNA (141 nucleotides) under uncultured bacterium. Its description in RNAcentral is "partial 16S rRNA". It matches the Rfam family "Bacterial small subunit ribosomal RNA", at positions 355 to 511 of the family's 1533-position model. The record is from RNAcentral.